UGCUCUGUGACGGCCCUGGGCCUUGUAGGCUGGUCUUGUUGUCCCUCUUUGUGCUCCUCCCAUUUGCAGGUGUGCCUGAUCGGGUGAUUGGAGUGCAGGAUACUUAAAGCUGGCUGUCUCCGUCUUUCAGCGGCGCUGGGUGGCUCGUAGCUGGUCGUUGGUCACUGGUCGUUGGUGGUUUGUCGCCUGUGGCCCUCAGCGUCCAUUCUGCAGAGGCAAUGGUGCUGGUACCGAAAAGGGCUGAUUUCAAAGGAAAGAUGAUUGAAGUAGACAUCUACGAAGCAGGGAAGCACUUUAUGAAGGCGCGACCAGUAGAAGACAGCAAGCCUUUCACUCCCUCUAUUGCAGAGCCUCUUCAGAAAGGAGAAGUGUCUGGUCUGUUGCAGG
Poecilia reticulata (guppy) is the source of this 387-nucleotide non-coding RNA. The record is from RefSeq and is a predicted model, not a curated record. Lineage: Eukaryota; Metazoa; Chordata; Actinopteri; Cyprinodontiformes; Poeciliidae.